UACGUAGGGUGCGAGCGUUAAUCGGAAUUACUGGGCGUAAAGCGUGCGCAGGCGGCGCGUUAAGACAGGUGUGAAAGCCCCGAGCUUAACUUGGGAAUUGCGCUUGUGACUGGCGUGCUGGAGUGUGGCAGAGGGAGGUGGAAUUCCACGUGUAGCAGUGAAAUGCGUAGAGAUGUGGAGGAAUACCGGUGGCGAAGGCGGCAUCCUGGACCGGCAUUGACGCUGAACAGCGAAAGCUAGGGGAGCAAACGGG
This 253-nucleotide ribosomal RNA is filed under the name uncultured bacterium. Its description in RNAcentral is "partial 16S ribosomal RNA". It matches the Rfam family "Bacterial small subunit ribosomal RNA", at positions 524 to 776 of the family's 1533-position model. The record is from RNAcentral.